RNAcentral lists this ribosomal RNA (492 nucleotides) under uncultured bacterium. RNAcentral's name for it is "partial 16S ribosomal RNA". It matches the Rfam family "Bacterial small subunit ribosomal RNA", at positions 29 to 507 of the family's 1533-position model. The record is from RNAcentral.
AGUGAACGCUGGCGGUAGGCCUAACACAUGCAAGUCGAACGGCAGCACAGUAAGAGCUUGCCCUUACGGGUGGCGAGUGGCGGACGGGUGAGGAAUACAUCGGAAUCUACUUUUUCGUGGGGGAUAACGUAGGGAAACUUACGCUAAUACCGCAUACGACCUACGGGUGAAAGCAGGGGAUCUUCGGACCUUGCGCGAUUGAAUAAGCCGAUGUCGGAUUAGCUAGUUGGCGGGGUAAAGGCCCACCAAGGCGACGAUCCGUAGCUGGUCUGAGAGGAUGAUCAGCCACACUGGAACUGAGACACGGUCCAGACUCCUACGGGAGGCAGCAGUGGGGAAUAUUGGACAAUGGGCGCAAGCCUGAUCCAGCCAUACCGCGUGGGUGAAGAAGGCCUUCGGGUUGUAAAGCCCUUUUGUUGGGAAAGAAAAGCAGCAGGUUAAUACCCCGCUGUUCUGACGGUACCCAAAGAAUAAGCACCGGCUAACUUCGUG